CUAGUUUAUACCAUAAAAACUAUCAUAUUGUCAUUAUGCUUAAUAUUAUUUGGCAUAUUCUAUUAUAUUUAGUAUCAGCCAAGUACGUGGUAUAGCACUGAAGAUAAAACCUGUUUGGAUCUCAUACUUCUGUUUAAUUCUGCCUGCUUUGAGGGGAUUGUAGUUUUCGUCAUUACCAAGCUGUUAAUAAUGAAGAAAUGCUCAUUAUUAAUAGCACAAUAUAAAAUAAAUGGCACUGAGUAUUAUGAGGGGGGGAAGGAAUGACACUGACAGCUUUUUCUUUAUUACCUGCAGAGGAGAAGAAAGUAAAGAGCACUAAAGUGGAAGCAAAAGUUAAAAAGGAAGUGAAGGAUGGAAAAGGAGAAGCAAAGAUGGCAGAGAAGGUCAAGCAGGCAGAGACAAAACCAACAGAAACUGGGCUAAUAAAGGCCAAAACGAAAGUUAAGGAGGAGAAAGCUCUUCAGACUGUAACUAAAUCGGACAAGAAAGAAGAAAAGUCUACUGUGGUACCUAGAGAAGGGAAAAGUAAGUUUGGGUUUUUUAUUUUUCCUUCAUCUUCAUGUUAGUUUUAUGCAAGGGACAGGAGUAUAUUUGCUUCUUGGAUUUGAAAAUAUUCCUAUACCUUAAAUAUGUUUCAGUUAAAGAAAAGACUCUUGUUUAAGUGCUUAUGGUUCUAUCUUCUGUAAGAUAAUAAAAC
This 697-nucleotide long non-coding RNA is filed under the name Corvus moneduloides (New Caledonian crow). Its description in RNAcentral is "lncRNA (ENSCMUG00000017365.1)". The record is from RNAcentral. Lineage: Eukaryota; Metazoa; Chordata; Aves; Passeriformes; Corvidae.